RNAcentral lists this long non-coding RNA (1023 nucleotides) under Oryza sativa (Asian cultivated rice). Its description in RNAcentral is "long non-coding RNA (OSAT_LNC000706)". The record is from RNAcentral. Lineage: Eukaryota; Viridiplantae; Streptophyta; Magnoliopsida; Poales; Poaceae.
CAAUAUAUUUUUUGAUAUUAUUGACCAUGGCAUGCUUUGCACAUGCAUGAUUACUAACAAAGCAAUUCUAAGAAACAUUAAUUCUUGUGCUUACAAUAUAUUGUUUGAUCAUAUUGACCAUGACAUGCUUUGUACAUGCAAUGAUUACUAAUAAUAGUAAUUAUAGGUUGUAUGUCAAUAGAUAUGCAGUAUGCACACCUUGAGGCAUUCACACACUGACACACAAGUUCCAGGCGCUUGGACUUCCUGCACCUGUGCACCCUUUGGCAUACAUCCAUUGCUCAUCUCCCGGAAAUUUCCUCAAUGUGCAUUAGUUCUCAAGCCACUACAAACCAUUAUUGAAAUUAAAAUAGCAUAGGAUUAAUAAACAGAAAUACAAGGAAAUUAAGCAGAUCCCAAAAUACUGAAACCAACCCAAAAGUUUUUAAGAGGAAGAUUACUACUGCAGUGUCUGUUCUACCACUUUUAUCAAAAGCAAAAACUGUUUCUCACAAGUUCUAGCUGUCCUGUUGGCGCCCUUGCAUCGAUUGCCCUAUCCAAAAUGAUUUGCGAUGUGCAAUCAAACACCCCCAAACUUUGUACCAGAUCAAUUCUCGAUAAUGAAAUCGUCCUAGGUAAAAUGCACAACCCGAGGACCCGCGUGCCAACUACUUCGUAGUAGCAUAUAACAGGGAAUCAAGCCCAGGAACAACACUAGCGGCAACUUUCUUCGGUGGAAAUAAACACGCAGCGACUGAACAAAAUCCGUAACAACGAGGAUUGGGGAGAAGUAGGGAAGCAAAGCUCGCGGGAAGGAACCCUAACGAACAAAAUUUUUGCUCGAAACAAACUUGAAUCCGUAACUAACUAGGCACUCCAACACGCAGCGAUCGAACAAAUCAGCACCAAAAUACUAAACAAUUUGGGCUCGAUUCGAUUCCCCACAUCAAACAGCAGUCGAGCGCAGGAGGGGGAGGAUGAGGAGGGCGAGGGGGAGCGAAGCGCGCGUACCUUGAGGGAGCCGAGGCGGCGGCGGCAUGCGGC